Molecule: long non-coding RNA, 1582 nt
Organism: Leucoraja erinaceus (little skate)
Lineage: Eukaryota; Metazoa; Chordata; Chondrichthyes; Rajiformes; Rajidae
Exons: 3
Source: RefSeq, a predicted model, not a curated record
AGGGGACCAAAACUACACACAAUACUCCAGGGAUGGUCUCACAAGGGCUCUGUACAACUGCAGAAGGACCUCUUUGCUCCUAUAUUCGAUUUUUCUUGUUAUAAAGGCCAACAUGCCAUUCGCAUUCUUCACUGCCUGCUGUACCUGCAUGCUUACUUUCAUAGACUGAUGUACAAGAACCCCCAGAUCCCGUUGUACUUCCCCUUUUCCCAACUUGACGCCAUUUAGAUAGUAAUCUGCCUUCCUGUUUUUGCUACCAAAGUGGAUAACCUCACAUUUAUCCACAUUAAACUUCAUCUGCCAUGCAUCUGCCCACUCCCCCAACCUGUCCAAGUCACCCUGCAUUCUCAUAGCAUCCUCCUCACAUAGCAUCAUCCUCAUCAUAGCAAAAGGAUUUGAGUAUGAGAGCAGGGAGGUUCUACUGCAGUUGUUCAGGGUCUUGGUGAGACCACACCUGGAGUAUUGCAUACAGUUUUGGUCUCCUAAUCUGAGGAAAGACAUUCUUGCCAUAGAGGGAGUACAGAGAAGGUUCACCAGACUGAUUCCUGGGAUGGCAGGACUUUCAUAUGAAGAAAGACUGGAUAGACUCAGCUUGUACACGCUAGAAUUUAGAAGAUUGAGGGGGGAUCUUAUAGAAAUUUACAAAAUACUUAAGGGGUUGGACAGGCUAGAUGCAGGAAGAUUAUUCCCGAUGUUGGGGGAAGUCCAGAACUAGGGGUCACAGUUUAAAGAUAAGAGGGAAGUCUUUUAGGACCGAGAUGAGAAAAUCAUUUUUUACACAGAAUGGUGAAUCUGUGGAAUUCUCAGCCACUGAAGGUAGUUGAGGCCAGUUCAUUGGCUAUAUUUAAGAGGGAGUUAGAUGUUGCCCUUGUGGCUAAAGGGAUCAGGGGGUAUGGAGAGAAGGCAGGGAUGGGAUACUGAGUUGGAUGAUAGCCAUGAUCAUAUUGAAUGGCGGUGCAGGCUCGAAGGGCCGAAUGGCCUACUCCUGCACCUAUUUUCUGUGUUUCACACUGCCACCCAGCUUUGCGUCAUCUGCAAAUUUGCUAAUGUUUCUUUGAAUCCCUUCAAAGAAUCCCUUCAAAUGGAAGGCCUUUCAGAAAACUUUGCCUGAGGAGCUGUUUCACUUUAGGAUGCUCCUUAAAACCUACCUCUACAACCAUGCUUUAGGGCAGCUUUUGAAAUCUCUCUCUCUCUCUCUCUGCAGUUUGGUGUCAGAUUUUGUUGGGUAAGGCUUUUGCAAAGCUUGAUGGAACAUUGUGCAGUGCAGUGUUAAAAGUGCGAUAUAAAUGCAGGUUGUUUAGAGUGGGACAACAUUCUAUUAAAUAGCAGGCACGGAAACAAAAGCAGGAGGAGCUCUGUCGGGACCAAGAAAGGAAAACUUUGUAAACUGGAACAAAUGUGGAAAUAUUGAACAGUUUCUAAGCAAACAUUAUGAAUGGUGAGAAGGGCAAAAUUUAAAGGAGAUGUGUGAGGCACGUUUUGUUUUGCACAGAGAAGGGUGGUGAGUAUCUGAAAGAUGCUGCUAGGGGUAGCUGCAGAGGGAGAUAUGAUAGUGGUAUUUAAGAGACUUUUGGAUAGGCAC